RNAcentral lists this ribosomal RNA (1339 nucleotides) under uncultured bacterium. RNAcentral describes it as "partial 16S ribosomal RNA". It matches the Rfam family "Bacterial small subunit ribosomal RNA", at positions 28 to 1380 of the family's 1533-position model. The record is from RNAcentral.
GACGAACUCUGGCGGCGUGCUUACACAUGCAAGUCGAACGGUAAGGCUCCAGCUUGCUGGGGUACACGAGUGGCGAACGGGUGAGUAACACGUGGGUGACCUGCCCUGCACUUCGGGAUAAGCCUGGGAAACUGGGUCUAAUACCGGACAGGACCGCACCGUGAGGGUGUGGUGGAAAGUUUUUUCGGUGUGGGAUGGGCCCGCGGCCUAUCAGCUUGUUGGUGGGGUAAUGGCCUACCAAGGCGGCGACGGGUAGCCGGCCUGAGAGGGUGGACGGCCACAUUGGGACUGAGACACGGCCCAGACUCCUACGGGAGGCAGCAGUGGGGAAUAUUGCACAAUGGGCGGAAGCCUGAUGCAGCGACGCCGCGUGGGGGAUGACGGCCUUCGGGUUGUAAACUCCUUUCACCAUCGACGAAGGGUUUCUGACGGUAGAUGGAGAAGAAGCACCGGCUAACUACGUGCCAGCAGCCGCGGUAAUACGUAGGGUGCGAGCGUUGUCCGGAAUUACUGGGCGUAAAGAGCUCGUAGGUGGUUUGUCGCGUCGUCUGUGAAAUUCCGGGGCUUAACUCCGGGCGUGCAGGCGAUACGGGCAUAACUUGAGUACUGUAGGGGAGACUGGAAUUCCUGGUGUAGCGGUGAAAUGCGCAGAUAUCAGGAGGAACACCGGUGGCGAAGGCGGGUCUCUGGGCAGUAACUGACGCUGAGGAGCGAAAGCAUGGGGAGCGAACAGGAUUAGAUACCCUGGUAGUCCAUGCCGUAAACGGUGGGCGCUAGGUGUGGGUUUCCUUCCACGGGAUCCGUGCCGUAGCUAACGCAUUAAGCGCCCCGCCUGGGGAGUACGGCCGCAAGGCUAAAACUCAAAGGAAUUGACGGGGGCCCGCACAAGCGGCGGAGCAUGUGGAUUAAUUCGAUGCAACGCGAAGAACCUUACCUGGGCUUGACAUAUACAGGAUCGCGCCAGAGAUGGUGUUUCCCUUGUGGCUUGUAUACAGGUGGUGCAUGGUUGUCGUCAGCUCGUGUCGUGAGAUGUUGGGUUAAGUCCCGCAACGAGCGCAACCCUUGUCUUAUGUUGCCAGCACGUUGUGGUGGGGACUCGUAAGAAACUGCCGGGGUUAACUCGGAGGAAGGUGGGGAUGACGUCAAAUCAUCAUGCCCCUUAUGUCCAGGGCUUCACACAUGCUACAAUGGUCGGUACAGUGGGUUGCCAGUCCGUGAGGGCGAGCUAAUCCCGCAAAGCCGGUCUCAGUUCGGAUCGGGGUCUGCAACUCGACCCCGUGAAGUCGGAGUCGCUAGUAAUCGCAGAUCAGCAACGCUGCGGUGAAUACGUUCCCGGGCC